CUGGCGGCGUGCCUAAUACAUGCAAGUCGAGCGGACAGAAGGGAGCUUGCUCCCGGAUGUUAGCGGCGGACGGGUGAGUAACACGUGGGUAACCUGCCUGUAAGACUGGGAUAACUCCGGGAAACCGGAGCUAAUACCGGAUAGUUCCUUGAACCGCAUGGUUCAAGGAUGAAAGACGGUUUCGGCUGUCACUUACAGAUGGACCCGCGGCGCAUUAGCUAGUUGGUGAGGUAACGGCUCACCAAGGCGACGAUGCGUAGCCGACCUGAGAGGGUGAUCGGCCACACUGGGACUGAGACACGGCCCAGACUCCUACGGGAGGCAGCAGUAGGGAAUCUUCCGCAAUGGACGAAAGUCUGACGGAGCAACGCCGCGUGAGUGAUGAAGGUUUUCGGAUCGUAAAGCUCUGUUGUUAGGGAAGAACAAGUGCAAGAGUAACUGCUUGCACCUUGACGGUACCUAACCAGAAAGCCACGGCUAACUACGUGCCAGCAGCCGCGGUAAUACGUAGGUGGCAAGCGUUGUCCGGAAUUAUUGGGCGUAAAGGGCUCGCAGGCGGUUUCUUAAGUCUGAUGUGAAAGCCCCCGGCUCAACCGGGGAGGGUCAUUGGAAACUGGGAAACUUGAGUGCAGAAGAGGAGGAGUGGAAUUCCACGUGUAGCGGUGAAAUGCGUAGANAAUGNNGNAGGAACACCAGNUGGCGAANGGNNACUCUCUNGGUCUGUAACUGACGCUNANGNA
Molecule: ribosomal RNA, 740 nt
Filed under: Bacillus sp. TR-6
Lineage: Bacteria; Bacillati; Bacillota; Bacilli; Caryophanales; Bacillaceae
Description: bacterial SSU rRNA
Rfam family: Bacterial small subunit ribosomal RNA
Source: RNAcentral